RNAcentral lists this ribosomal RNA (497 nucleotides) under uncultured bacterium. Its description in RNAcentral is "partial 16S ribosomal RNA". It matches the Rfam family "Bacterial small subunit ribosomal RNA", at positions 28 to 507 of the family's 1533-position model. The record is from RNAcentral.
GAUGAACGCUGGCGGCGUGCCUAAUACAUGCAAGUCGAGCGCACAGAUGAGGAGCUUGCUCCUCUGACGUUAGCGGCGGACGGGUGAGUAACACGUGGAUAACCUACCUAUAAGACUGGGAUAACUUCGGGAAACCGGAGCUAAUACCGGAUAAUAUAUUGAACCGCAUGGUUCAAUAGUGAAUGACGGUUUUGCUGUCACUUAUAGAUGGUUCCGCGCCGCAUUAGCUAGUUGGUAAGGUAACGGCUUACCAAGGCAACGAUGCGUAGCCGACCUGAGAGGGUGAUCAGCCACACUGGAACUGAGACACGGUCCAGACUCCUACGGGAGGCAGCAGUAGGGAAUAUUCCGCAAUGGGCGAAAGCCUGACGGAGCAACGCCGCGUGAGUGAAGAAGGUCUUCGGAUCGUAAAACUCUGUUAUUAGGGAAGAACAAAUGUGUAUGGAUCUAUGCCUGUCUUGACGGUACCUAAUCAGUAAGCCACGGCUAACUACGUG